Hemicordylus capensis (graceful crag lizard) is the source of this 5877-nucleotide long non-coding RNA. RefSeq lists it as uncharacterized. The record is from RefSeq and is a predicted model, not a curated record. The transcript has 2 exons. Lineage: Eukaryota; Metazoa; Chordata; Lepidosauria; Squamata; Cordylidae.
CCGCAAUCGAAGCAGCAGACAAGCUGCAAAGAGCUCCUUUUCUCCCGCCUCUCAGCUGAUCGGCGGGUGGGCGGGGCUUCCACGGAGGCCUCCGUGUAGGCCGCAGUGAAGCCUGAACUCGAGUAGGGCCCAAGCCAGCCAGGAAGGAGGAGGCAGCCAGAGUGUUCUCUGCAGCAGAAGACCCCUUGCUGCCCUGCUUAACCCAGACCAGCAUUUGCCAGUAAGCAGGUUUGCCAGCCCAGAAGGUGGGAGCACUGCAGCCAACAGUGCCUUGAACUGUCUUUCUUCAAGAAGGAUCGAUCCUCUCCAGAUUCUGUUAGUGACUCAAACAGCGGUCAAGCAUGAGGGAAGGAGUACCUGGAUCCAUGCAUCCCAUUACCAGAAGGUGAUCUCAAGGGAGUCCCCAGAGGACAACAACCCUGACCCAGAUGAAGGACUGGCAGUGUGGCAGGCUAGGCUAACCAUCAGCAGCAGCAGCUGCCCGAAGGAGGUCCCCAUUUGUGUUUCUAGCCCAGCCCAAUGGUGACGGAACGUCCAUCUGCUGCCCUGUCCUGUGUUCAAGGAAGAGGACCUAAUGCAGGGUUCCUGCUCCGGAGGAGACCGAGGAUCCUGAGCCCCAGGGUGCUGUAGGUGAAGAUUAGACAAUGAAUACCUGAAGAGUGCUUGAUAGCUAACAGGCAAAUUUCAAAAUGCUGAAGGGUUCUGUUCUGUAUUUGUUCAUUUUAUAUGUAUAUGCACCAGCCCAAAUGGACAGGACAUGGACCUCACAUGUUUGCUCCCCGGUCACUUCCCUUCUUGCUUCCCUGAUAUCCUGUGCCAGACAUGUAACUGUCCCACCCAGAGCAUCUACCUGUAAGUCUGUACCUUCCCCCAACUUAAUAGUUCCUUUUGCACUCUAAAGACAUCAAGUUUAUUUGAAGCUCCCCAGGCCAGUUCUGGAUGUGAGAAACCUGCUAGCCAAAGCUUUAUCUGCUAAUUUCCUAGGCACCUGUACUUGUUACCUGAUGUGACUGUACAUGAUUCCAUAAAUUAUACUACUUAUCAUUGCCAUCACUUUCCACGAGCUAAUAAUCCAUUAAUCAUCAUGCAACUGUACAUGCUAUUGGUGCUUUAGGACAACUGGAUGUUGUGUAUACCUUCCUGACAACUUUGAUGAAACAUUUGGUCAUGUUCAGAAAAUACAUGUAAAUCCCUUGUAAAUCCUGAGGAGGACUGGGAUGACUUAAGGGUGUCUUGGAACUGGUUAUGGUCAUGGAUCCCCUGAUGUAAGGGGGGUGGCUGAGAAAAUGUGUGAUGGUUUUUGUAAGGAUAAUAGUUUUGCUCAUAUUUGCAGGAUGCUGUGUUCACUGUGUACCCAACAUAUAUGCUACGUGCAGAACCCUGUGUCAGCCUCAGGCUAGACCUGAUGUGGCUCAGUUCAUCGCGCUGCAACAUAUUAGUGAGGCUUGAAGUAUGAUGAAGGUAAUUCAUCAUUCUUAGCCUCAAGGGGGGAUUUUUACCUGUGAGCUAGCCAUAGCCGCGCCAUUUUAGAUGAACUGAGCAAGAGUCUGCUCCAUCCAUUUUGUGUGCUGUUAGUUUCCACGUAGAAACCAUUUCCUCUCUUUCUCACCCUGGCUGUAAAAGCCUUGAAUUUAGCAACAAGAUGUGAAUUGCUGCACCUUCCUGCAGGACAUGCUGAUCACAGGCAGGAAAGUUACUGAUAAGGAUAGCUCACACUAGAGAUGAAGCAAGGGUGUAGCUGGGGGAGAAGGGGCCGUGUUCAUCCCUCUCUCUGGUGGCCCCCCAGAAUGAGGGAGAUAAUGAAGAAAAUAGGAAGGGAUGGAACUGGAGAGUCCUCAGGAGCUGGGGGCUCAUGUUCGUUGAACCCUUUCGCUCAAUUAUAGCUACACCCCUGAGACAAAGUAUUUAUGAUACUAACAAAGAGAGCCAUAGAAUAUUCAAAGACUAACACAGUGAUGUAUACAGGACUACCUGUCAAGCUUGUUGUUGCUGAUCGUGCUAAAACUGUAUCAAUCUGUAUAAAAACCCCUGGCAGCCUCCGUUCGGAGCUGCCCUGAUCUGUGAAGCAAUUCCCAGGGUUUGCCUUUGCUCUGUAGAGACAAAUGCAACUUUGAAAACAGUCUCCGGUUUGGUGAGUGCAAUUGGCUAAGCGCACCAGGCUACAUAAACCUGGAAUUUCGGUAACAGUUGGUCUAAUUCUUUAUAAAGCUGCUUCAUAUGUUCACACAAACUGGGAUACUGGGGAUGAAUGAAUGGUUUUUAGCCUUUAAAACAUGAGGCUAUGGGACUAAGGUUUAGGGGUUUGUUUAAUGGGAUAGUGGUAGCCUGGAAUAAGAAUCAGCUGGCUACCUAAGACUUCAAACUGCAAGUGGUUUUGGACAAGCAUGGAAAGCGUUAGCACUGGCUCCGAAGCAUUUUUAAUAACAGGUCUCUUGUUUUUCAUUUGAGGCGCUCCAACCACCAUACUAGGCUAUUCCUCACAACACAACCCUGUAAGGGAGGUUAGGUUGAGAGAGCCCAACCUGUUGCCCAAUGAGCUUCAGGUUGAAGGUCACUUAAGACAUUGUGUUAUUGGGUGAACACUUAAUUUUUGUAAUGUAUACACCUAAAGGGAUAUAGUCUGAAUGUAAAAAAAAUACCUAUCUGCAAACCAGGAAAGGCUGCAUCUCUUGUUGAGUAUAAACUUGGUGGCAAACCAUUUUCUGUAGAGUAAAAUCUGGACUAUGCCGACUGUGGAGUCUCUUAUUUGAAUGCAAAAUAAUGCGGCUGAUAAUAUUUUACUGAGGAGCCCAAGGCUUGUUUUACUGUAAUAUCUGAAAAGAUGAAAGUACAUUGAUGUUCAAGAGGUUUCCCAUUGGCUCAUAGCUGGUUUUAAUUGCUUAGCAUUGCUCCAAGUUUAUUUGCACUUUAUUUUUACAUUUUUAUCCCGCUCUUCCCCCAAUGAUCCCAGAGUGGUGUACAUGGUUAUGUUUAAGCCCACAACAACCCUGUGAAGUAGGUUAGGCUGAGAGAUAAGUGACUGGCUCAGAGGCACCCAGUGAGUUUCAUUGCUGAAUGGGGAUUUGAACUUUGGGCUUCCUGGUUUCAAAUCUAGUGGUGUAAGUGCAUAGGAAGGCUUUACUGAAUGGACACCCUUCAUGCCAAAGGAGGUUUUUUGUUGUUGUUCUGCUGCAACUGGUGAUCAAUCUCUGUGUUCAAGCUAGAUCACCUUGCAAAGGUGGCAAAUUGCCAUGCGAGCAGAUGGGCUGAAGUAUAAGCAGCCAAGCUGUCACUUAGGAACAUAAAUCAAGCAUUAACGACCAGCAUUGGAACCAAACCCUUGCACUCCCUGAUUGCAGCGCUUAUGGUUUGCAAGUCCCUUCAGUUUGUGUUUUGCAAAAGUUGCAAGCAAAACCUUUGAUGCCCUGCAUAGCUGAGACACCUUUGCAGUGAUUGGGCAAAUCCUGCCUCCAGCAGGAGUGCCUUUGUUCCAGGACAACCUAACUCAGGGCUACUCAACUUGGGGCCCCUUGCAGUUGUUGGCCUAUAACUCCCAUAGUCCCUGGCUAUUGGCCUCCAUGGCUGGGGAUCAUGGGAGUUGUAGUCCAAAAACCUAAUGGUGCAGUGAGGAAAUGCUUGACUAACGAGCAGAAGGUUGCCAGUUUGAAUCCCUGCUGGUACUAUAUUGGGCAGCAGCGAUAUAGGAAGAUGCUGAAAGGCAUCAUCUCUUACUGCGCGGGAGGAGGCAAUGAUAAACCCCUCCUGUAUUCUACCAAAGAAAACCACAGGGCUCUGUGGGUGCCAGGAGUCGAAAUCGACUUGACGGCAAACUUUACCUUUAGUCCAAAAACAGCUGGGGGUGUGUGCAAAGUUGAGGAGGACUGAUUCAAGAGAAUGGCUGCAUUCAGACAUAGCAGGAACUUGCUUAGAACUGCAGUUUGCAGUUAAAAUCCUAAACUGGGGGUUCCAUCACAGACAAUCCUCCAUCCCUGGUUUGGGAAACUCCAAACGCAGGUUAGAGUUCCCCUCUCUCUUCUGGUCCUUGGAGUUUGGUUCCACCCACUUGUAUAGCCAUGCUAUUGACAGGCUAUGGGCCUGGCUUCACAGCUCCAGGCAAUUGCUCACAUUUGGCCAGGAGCUUGGAGAGUGUGUGAUUACUGGCUGUGAUUACAGACUUCAAGCAGUGCUCCCGGCCCUUUCAUUAUAAGACCAGCAGUGCCUGGGCAUGCCUGUUGGCAGGCAGAGGAAGUAGGAAGUGUGCGUGGCAUUUGGUCAGGAAACAUACCAUGGAGUGCUGUUGGUACUGCUCUGAGCUGGCCUCUCACUGGUCGCAGCUGCUGCUUGUAACCACAGUUAUAGCAGUGGAUGCAUGCAGAUAACACAACGGCCCCUUCAAACCAGAGGCGUAUCUAGGGAAAAUAGCACCUAGGGCAAGCACUGAAAUUGCGCCCCUUGUCCAAACAUCUGACACCCAUCUUUCAGAUAACUUUACUAUAAUGUCAGCUGAAAAAUAUAAGUCAAGCUCAUUAAUCUUUUAAUAUUUCAAAAACUAUUUAGCAGUAGACGUAGCCAGACCAAAAAAUGCUGGAAAACUACAAAUUUCAGUAUGCUGGGGCUCAUGAAAUACCCAAAUACUAUGUGGAGGUGUACUUGGAAAACUAAACAGAAGUGCCUGUCUAAUUCUCUACUAUGCAUCUACUAGCAUCACUAUUACAUAAAUUUUAAAAAUAAAUGGAGAAUUUGACUUUUCCCAGAUACUCUGAAAAUAAUUAAAUGAUAUGCAGAGUAAACUGUGUCACUGCUUGGAAUAUAUUCUAGUAUUUCAGAAAGACAGUUAAAAUGAGAGAAAGAGAGCAAGAAACUCCCAGUGGACCUUAAUACUAAGGAUUUCACACUGAUUCAAAGACAAACUCACCAUUAAUAACCAUAUUUUUAAGACACCACAUUUAACUCACUUAUCAUAAGAAGCAAAGUAAGAGCAAAUGAAUACAAUCCUAGCUCAUAAGCUUCAGGCCACUAUUCACAAGCCCUGAUUCUCUGUACAUAGUGCCAAACUGAAUAUGUGUACAGUGACUUAUAUUAUAUUAAAUUAUUAUUUUUUACCUGUAGCCCCUUCGGGGUGCUUCCUAUAGGCUGGGGGGGGUCUGCAAAGGUUACCCCUCCCACUGCUGGCCUCUAGGGCCUCGCAGAGACCAUUUGAGCAUGUGCAGUGGCCAUUUUUUAAAAUAACUGUGGUUUUUUUUAAUGGCCGCUGAAAACAAAAUGGCCACCACUCAUGCUCAAAUGGCCUCUGGGAGGCCUGGCAUAGCCUAGGGCCUCACAGAGGCCAUUUGAGCAUGUGCAGUGGCCAUUUUGGUUUUGGUGGCCAUUUUUAAAAAAAAUAAAUAAAUAAAUUUUAAGAAUUUGCGCCCCCUUCAGGUGGUGCCCAGGGCACGUGCCCUGCCUGCCCUACCCUAGAUAUGCCCUGCUUCAAACAGAGGUUUAGAGCAGUGAAACUGAGCAAUAAUCCCAGGUCCAAAUUCCAGUUUGGGAAGUAAACUGGACCCUGUGGUUUGGUUGUAAAGCUGUGGUUGCAUGCAUUCAGAUAUCACACGAAACUGGAGUUACAGGUUUUCUGGCAACCUGUAACUCCGGUUUCGUGCAAUGUCUGAAUGCAGCCAAGGAGGAAUCAGUCUGUCCAUUAGAACCUGGAGACUUGACACGAAAUCUUCCUUCGUUCUUGGAGUAGGCCAUAAGGGCCUGCUAGUUAGCUUCUUUGUUAGAUAUUGUUUAGUGCGUGUGGUGGUAUUGUAAUUAUUCUCUCCCUGCUCCUUUUCAAAUCCAGUCCCUUAUGCCUAUUUUGGGAACUGCCUCAUUCUUUUCUUAUUUGAUAAAAUAAACCACCUUUUGAUUCCAUAA